GAUGAACGCUGGCGGCGUGCCUAAUACAUGCAAGUCGAGCGAACGGACGAGAAGCUUGCUUUUCUGAUGUUAGCGGCGGACGGGUGAGUAACACGUGGAUAACCUACCUAUAAGACUGGGAUAACUUCGGGAAACCGGAGCUAAUACCGGAUAAUAUUUUGAACCGCAUGGUUCAAAAGUGAAAGACGGUCUUGCUGUCACUUAUAGAUGGAUCCGCGCUGCAUUAGCUAGUUGGUAAGGUAACGGCUUACCAAGGCAACGAUGCAUAGCCGACCUGAGAGGGUGAUCGGCCACACUGGAACUGAGAAACGGUCCAGACUCCUACGGGAGGCAGCAGUAGGGAAUCUUCCGCAAUGGGCGAAAGCCUGACGGAGCAAAGCCGCGUGAGUGAUGAAGGUCUUCGGAUCGUAAAACUCUGUUAUUAGGGAAGAACAUAUGUGUAAGUAACUGUGCACAUCUUGACGGUACCUAAUCAGAAAGCCACGGCUAACUACGUG
Molecule: ribosomal RNA, 497 nt
Filed under: uncultured bacterium
Lineage: Bacteria
Description: partial 16S ribosomal RNA
Rfam family: Bacterial small subunit ribosomal RNA
Source: RNAcentral